RNAcentral lists this long non-coding RNA (467 nucleotides) under Malus domestica (apple). RNAcentral's name for it is "long non-coding RNA (MDOM_LNC003513)". The record is from RNAcentral. Lineage: Eukaryota; Viridiplantae; Streptophyta; Magnoliopsida; Rosales; Rosaceae.
GCGUGCCGGUCGAGGGUCCAUACAAGCCAGCUGCCUACAGGUACUGAAGAGGGGUCGUCAAUGAGACGAGAAAUGAGAAAAAGAAAACUAUAUCUGGACGACGGGUUGUUUUUUGCUUUUGAUUAUUUUCACUUGUGAUGAAAUGCGGUAGAUUUUCUAGGUUUAUAAAUUUUGUAGGAGUUUGUGUCGGUGGGUUUCGGAGGGUAUGGGAUGUGUGAGGGAAAGGGAUGAUUUAGGUCUCAAUGGAAGACCUAGGGGCUUGAAUAAGGGAAUGGGACGGGGGUUGUGUGGGAUAAUUUCUGCUGCAGCAUCACUUGUGUGCUGCAUCCGGUUAUCUAUCGUUUUACUACCAAGAAAUGGAUUAAAAAAAAAAAAACUAUUUACCGUCAUUUGGAGUUUUGGUUCGAUUCGUCCUCGGUGUUACGAUUGGAUUCAUUUUGUUUGUUUUUGCGUUUGCCUAUCCGAUU